AUUGAACGCUGGCGGCAGGCCUAACACAUGCAAGUCGAGCGAGCGGCGGACGGGUGAGUAAUGUAUGGGAAACUGCCUGAUGGAGGGGGAUAACUACUGGAAACGGUGGCUAAUACCGCAUACGAUCAGAUGAGCCCAGAUGGGAUUAGCUAGUAGGUGGGGUAAAGGCUCACCUAGGCGACGAUCCCUAGCUGGUCUGAGAGGAUGACCAGCCACACUGGAACUGAGACACGGUCCAGACUCCUACGGGAGGCAGCAGUGGGGAAUAUUGCACAAUGGGCGCAAGCCUGAUGCAGCCAUGCCGCGUGUAUGAAGAAGGCCUUCGGGUUGUAAAGUACUUUCAGCGGGGAGGCGUUACCCGCAGAAGAAGCACCGGCUAACUCCGUGCCAGCCGCCGCGGUAAUUC
This 406-nucleotide ribosomal RNA is filed under the name uncultured bacterium. RNAcentral's name for it is "partial 16S ribosomal RNA". It matches the Rfam family "Bacterial small subunit ribosomal RNA", at positions 30 to 526 of the family's 1533-position model. The record is from RNAcentral.